This 789-nucleotide long non-coding RNA is filed under the name Coturnix japonica (Japanese quail). RNAcentral's name for it is "lncRNA (ENSCJPG00005011138.1)". The record is from RNAcentral. Lineage: Eukaryota; Metazoa; Chordata; Aves; Galliformes; Phasianidae.
ACUGAGGUAUCGUGCCUGCUUCCAUCACAAUGGGCUCUUUGUCUCCAUUCUUUGAAAAUGUCCCAUUGACCAGACUUCUUGGAAAAGGGGAAUCAUUUUGAGUCUGCUCUGAGAGGCAGAAAGAGAUGCCAGAUUCAUCAGGAGUAGACUCGAGAGAGAGAGAAAACAGACAGUGUAUGAUACUCUUCAGUGAACUUUUGCAAUGGAUUGUGCUGAAGUUCCUGAAUUGAUCCUGCCGUCUCCACAAAAAAGGAUGAGUACAGUAGAACUGCUGAAGCCUCAGGAACAGAAAAAGUUGUUGUUUAUGACAGGAAGACAGCGGUGACCACAGUCUGUAUUUGUAUCAUAUCACCUAGGAGGUCUAUUUGUGGACUGACAGCUUGGUAUACUGGAUGCAGUAGAAAUGCAGCAGAAGAACAGCCCUGUGACUUGGAGAGUUUACAGUCAAGGAGAAAGAUCAGAUCAACAGAAAAGACUUCGGGGGAGAGCCACUGAUACAUGGGAAUCUCAUUGACGUUAGGGGACGUCCCACACCUAAUUUUCCCUCCAUAACUUUCAUUCUGGAUUCUAUCCUCAUGUCCACUGAAGUAUUAUUGCAUGAUAUAACGUCUUUACAUGGUGCACAAUACAUUUAUAAAAAGAACAAGACCUACAGUGGUAUACUGUGUGCUCUGUAAAGCCUUUUUUGCCUGUUGCUAAGGGAAGAGGAUGCUCAAUGCUGAACAGUUGUAAAAUAAGUUAGUUUCACACACGCAUUUCUGCAGAAAUAAAUCAGCCACUGGAGAAUCA